GACCUCCUGGAGAAGUCGACCUUUGAGAAUAGACUGGAAGGAGCUGAGGGAGCAAGCAAGGUAUUUGGAGAACAGUCUUUCAGACAGAUGGGAUAGCAAUGUUCUGAGGCAAGAGUGCGCUUGAGGAGCAACAGGAAGGUCAACGAUGGAAAUCAUUGGAAGAUUUUGAGCAAAAAUGUUGAUGUCACUUCUAUUUAAACAGAAUUCUCCUUUGGCUGCUAGUUGAAAAGCCAGUCAGGGUGGUGUGGAGGGUGGAGGGCGGAGGACAGAGGGCAGAGGAGUUAGCACAUCUUGGCUAUGAACUAAGGGGAAGUGAUGAGAGCUUGCACAGGGUCAGAACAGUGAGGGGUGAGAAGUGGUCACUUCUGAAUCUAUCUUGAAGAUAAAAUGAAAAGCUCUGGGUUGGAUGUGGAAUGUGAGAGAAGGAAAGCAGACACGGACAGUUCUGGGUUUGGGGGUUGUUUUUUUUAGCUGAGUAACUGAAAGGAUCAUGUGCCAUCAACUGGAGUGGGGAAGAUGUGGGAGGAGCAGAGGGAUUGUGAAGAGCUCAGUACUGGGCAUAUUAUACUUGAGAUAAUAUGUAAUAAGAGUAGCCUGCAUUUAUUGAGCGCUUCCUGUAUGUCAGACGCUGGGUGAAGCAUCUGUUGGGGAAGAGUUAGAAUCCCCCUCUGCCCUUUCCUUUAAGGUUCUUAUGGCUGGCCAAAUAAUUAAAAGACAGGUUAGCAGCAGAAAAUAAUACCAAGUUUAAUAACAUGUAUACAUGGGAGAAACCAGGGAAACUGAGUUUCUUGACAAAAUGACAGAGAGUCUCAUCUUAAAUACCAUAUUUAGCUAAAGACAAAGGAGGAUGUUGGGGGUGGGGAGGGAGACGGAAAUUACAGUAAUCAAGGGUAUACAGAUUUAAGUCCUCUGCUUCUGUACUGAUAAGAGUUUCCACAGAUAAGGCCAUCCCCCCCUUCCCAAUCAGAGAGGGAGAUACCUUUACAAAUGGAGAUUUCCCUUAUAAAUGUCAAUGUUUGUCUGGCAAUUAUUUGCAGGGCCACCUAGAGAAUGUGGCCUGGGAGAGACAGAAUUUUUGAUAAGAUGGGCUUGUUGGUGCGUUUCCUAUUGUAACAUCUAUUGUACAUGCUAUUACAGCCAUCAUAUGAUAGUGGCUCCUUCCUGAAACAGGUCUUCUAUGUUAAAUUCUUUAGGUAGUUUGGGGGAGGUCAAAUGUCCGUUAGAGAAAAUAAUUAAGGUAAAGAGACAUAUUUCAGGGUGGCCAAAUUUUGAUCUCCCACACGUCUUAUAUAUAUUGUUCGUUUAAUCAUUACAACAGCACUAUUAUCUUCUCUAUUUUAGAGACAAGAAAAUUGGUAGUAGUGCCCAUUAACAGCCUUCCAAGAGCUCAUGCAACAAAAAAUAGAUCUUUCCUGUUUAAUUUUUCUGUCCUAACUGCACAACAUCCUGGUUGAUGUUAGCUCAUCACAGUGUCAAUGAAGAUGUGAGUUUUCUCCUGACUUCUACAGAACGGUGAGGGAUUAUCAGCUUUGUUCUGCUCUUGGAGCCUCGAGGACGCCCCAUAAACACGUGAGUGAGUGAGAGAGUGGGCAUGUGGAACCUGUCGGUGCCGGCCACAGGCCUGCAUCUGACAGUGAUCCUUACCAGUGAGGGAGAAGCAAGGAUGCGGUCUCAGGGUGUGCCCGGGGAUGGGGUACGUCCAUCUACUGGGCACAUGGGAGGGGGAGCUGAGCUUGAUAACCCAGGAGAACAGAGUGUUCAAGCUUAGCAACCAAGUGGCCAACUGGGCUUCAUAACUAGAAGCAUCUAAAAUAGAAAACAGGAGUCAGCAUUAGGAGGUGAGCAGCAUGAAGCAAGAUGUGGAUGUGGGGGUUGGGGGGAAUAGUUCAAGGCUAUGUCUGUGAGACCAGGUGAGCUUUGGUGCUCCUUCGUAUGGGAGCCUUCCUAACUGGGAAAGUCUUCAACAGGCCAAUGGUUUGUGCGGAGAAACAGAGAAGCAGAAAGGGCUCUGGUUGUACACCACUUAAGAAGUAUAUUAGUUAUCUUUUGCUGAGUAACAAAUCACCCCAAAACUUAGCGCCUUAAAACAACCAUGAUAAUUUAUUAUCUCACAGUUCAGGAGCAGCUGGGACAUCUCAAAGGCUUCUUCACUCCCACACGUGGCAGCUGAGCUGGAACACUGGAGCCCCUCACCCUCGGGCAUUUCUCUAUGGUGGUCUUCGCUCGUGGUCUUUCCAGCAUGGUGUCCUCAGGAGAGCGACAAUUCUUGCCUGGCAGCUCAGGGGUCCAAAGCUGUGUGGCCCCAGAGAGAGACACCCAGGAGGAAGCUGUGCCCCUUUUCUGAACUAGCCUUGGGGGACAGGCAGCCAUCUCUCCUGCUGCAAUCUGUUAGAAGCAGGUGCCCACGGCUGGCCAUUAUUCACAGACAGGGGAAUUGGACUCCUCCUUUUUCUGGGAGUCUUAUCCAAGAAUUUGCUGGCAUGUUUUAUAUCCACACAGAAGCCUGUGACAUAGUCUGGGGACCUCCACUUAUACCCGUGUCAGUGGAAAUUCUCUUGAUGCCUCCAAUGGUGGGCAAUUCGUGUCGGACAUGUGCCGGGAUGACAUGACUUGCAGACAAGCUUAAUUUUCUGAGACUAAAUACUAUGUCUGUGUGGUCCCCAGGAAAACCCCCAGGCCUGGAAAUAUUUUUCCUGUGACUCAGAAGGGUGUAUAUCAGAGUACCUAAAGUAUACAGGGGGAUACAAAAUAGUGUUAAAAAGACAGGAAACAGUAAGGAGAUUGAGCAGUAGACAGGAAAGCAGUGGCCCUCAGUUUGGUGUACCCUCGAUUUGUGACACAAGAGCAGAAAUCCUAAGUAAUUGUUUUGUUAGAGGGGAGUGGGGAGGCUUGGUGAAUUCAAAUGCACUUCAAGCAUUUGACAGCCUCCUGUCAGGACAUAGAUUGCACCGUGGGAUGUUCGCCUGAUGCUAGCUAAUUAGGAAAACCAUUCUGGGCCUAGCACGAGCGAGCCCAGGGAAUGAUAACCGGGGUCGCUAUAGCUGGUGUGCUGGAGUUCCCCAUUACAAUUCGUAGUCUCCUUACACUUGAUUGAAUUUAUUCCACACACAGACUUUCACUAAAGGCUGCCAUGUCCCAACGUGCUAGGCAGCUGCCAAAACACAGUAGUCCUAACAGCUGGAGUUCUUAUCUGCUGCAGCUACACAGUUAAGGAGGAAUCUGAGUUCCACCGGAAGUGAUCCUUGGACUGUAUGGCAAGAUUUGUAAAUGGAUCCAGGAGCCUCCAUCGCAGGGUUGACUCAGGCUGGCAAGCACUUGCUGACACUAGGGAAUUUUCCACUUUGGGUCCAGCAUUACAGACCAACUUCUCCCAGGCUGGGCAGAUUCCUGUGAGGCCAGACCCCAGGCAAGCAUUUCUAAGGGUGUGAUUGGUGGGAUGUAGUUUGGCAAAUAUUGCAAGUGUUAUGCAAAAGUAAAUUAAUAAGCAAACAAAUAAAAUGUAAAGAAAGAGAGAGCAAAUAAAUUUGGAAAACUGAAUUCAAUAAAAGUAAGUCAAUUUUUGCUUUUUUUUGGUUAAACAGGAUUUCUCAGAGCCUUUACUAUGCCACCAUGCAUUGUGAAUGUCCAAAAGAUAUGUAGCAUUUUCCACAUCUUAUUUGACCAGGGGGACCAUUUUCUCGUGAUCACCUUGGGUGACUCAGUAUUCCAGUGACGACUCUGGGGUGUGCUGUCCUAGACCAGAGCUACUUGAAGUGUGACCCGUGGACCCAUGGGUUGCAACAAGGUGACAGUAUUAACAUCCCAGCCAAGGAGCCCUGCGGUUUGACCUUCGCUGGCCAGGUCAGAGGAAACUGCUGAAUCCUGUGUGUUUACCAGCCAUUCUGUUCAAAACGUGUGAGCAUUUGAAGAGGAAGUAAACCAGGUCAGUCUGAGGUUUCGGGAUGAAGUUGAAGAUAUGAAGGAGAGAAGCCCUUCUUUAACAAAGAAAAUCUUUUCAAUCCUCGCCAAGUGUUUAUUGGUGAGAGGGCCUGAGAGCCGGGACAAAUGGUGAGUGUCCAUGGUAACCAAGGUGACCUUCAUUCCUGAUUGGGUAGCGGGGCCUGGAGAGGGGAGGGCAGCCUGGCAGCCAUGCUUCCAUGUUGAUUUUUGUUUUAAUUACACAAAUGGAGAGAAAACAAAGGAUAGGGGAUAAGAGCCCACGGCAGAGGGGCUGUUGGUUUUUUCUCAGGAAAGAGACUUGGAGAGCCUCCAGGAAGCUCUGCUAAUUAUUACUUAGGGAGGCAAAGGAGGCCUCUUUCCUGUGAGGCUAAUGGAGGGGAGAUUCCAACGGAGAGGGGAUCUACCUCUAAACAGAAUUCAGAAAGAUUUCCAACCCAAGAUCAAGUCAAGUGGCGGUUCAUAAGAGGUAGAGAUUUUAGUGAUUGACGCCACAUUGUUGUCAUAAAUAAAACCUAUGGUCAGUUAAAUAUUGUAUAUAUGUUUAUUUACUUAUAUUUUUUAAAAAGAACUAUUCACCGGCUCAUAGAUUUUCUGAUUCAGCUUUUCUGCAGAAGAGUUUUCCCUCAGACCCCACAGGGCACCUAGUGGCCACUCUGUGCAUUGCAGUGUCCCGAGGACACUGCCAGUUUGUCCCCAGGGGUGUCCCCCUAAAUCCAGCUCUUUUUUAGUGAUAGAAAAGACACAGAAGCUGAUUCCCGCCCAGGCCUGGCUCACCCAGAAUUCUGAUUUUUGUUUUUCUGAUUUCAUCCGCCUAACUUGCCUGAGACUCUGGUCGGUGCCCUCCUAGUCAUUCAGCACACGGGGCUUAGGCCUCUCUCCCGGACAGGUGGCGCCCCCGUGGAGAGCUGGCAAUUUGCGGUGCCCUGAAGUACCCCUCUCACCUCCCAUGAGAGUCGGUGGAAAACGGAGCUGAGGGAGAUAGAGCAAAUUCCCGAAGUGGGGCGUAUGGGCCUGGCUCAACCUGACAAGUCGAGGAGCUGCAAAUGGUGGUUUGUAAAGUGGCCGUGGGGUAAGUGAAUCCCAUUUCCUCUGGGCAGGAGGCCAGGGCCCUCCUCACACUCAGGUAUCUGCUCAGGAAGGAGGAGUUGGUCGUGCCAGCGACUGACCUCAGGCUGGUAGCGCUGAUAUUUCAGGAAGCUAAGCUGGGUCUGUUUCUCUUACAUCCCAUUUGCCUUCUUUUGGUACACCAAGAAAACUGUAUUUUCCUGCUGGUUCAUGUGAAUUAAGUCAUUCUUGCCUCCUUUGACAGAGUCACCUUACAGUGAUAGGAAGCACUUCCCCGUGUUGUGUUCGUGGUUGCUGCUGGCUCAGCCCGACACCUUAUCAGCUGUUAUGUGAGGCUGGAUCAUGAGACUGGAAUGUCCUACCCACGUGGCCGCAAGCCCGCCUGGAGGGCCCGGGCAGGUCCCGUCUCUGGGCCCUUCCUUCUGAGCGCCAGUGGCCCCACAGAAAGGAAGGAAGUUAUCAAAGAUGCUGCCAUCGGUCAUGCCAGAGGGACUCAGGAGCCAACUGAAGAGGCUCCCACUGUGGCUGCAGGUUGGAGACCCAAGGGCUAUUUUAGGGAAUGAACGAUAAUACAGUUGCCCCCCAAAUUUAGUAAUCUUUCAGUCCAUUUGCUUCUGGUUCAUUCCAUGGUCAAAAAAUCGACUCAAAAAUCUCUUUUGGACUUAGUCCUUAAGCCCGAUCUUAGGUCUUCUUUUAUGUAAUGACUUACACUGCCAACACCUUCUUCCUCAUUUUAAU
Long non-coding RNA from Diceros bicornis minor, 5742 nucleotides. RefSeq lists it as uncharacterized. The transcript is spliced from 4 exons. Lineage: Eukaryota; Metazoa; Chordata; Mammalia; Perissodactyla; Rhinocerotidae. The record is from RefSeq and is a predicted model, not a curated record.